GCAGAUUUGUAAGCAAGGACAGCUACUUUUAAUGCUUCAAAGAACUGAGUUGCAAUUUAAAUGACCUCAUAGAUUGAUUCAACCAUAAAGCCUCUUACGAGAGCUCUAGAAAGUUUUUCUUUUCCUCUGAGUACGUUUAGUUUAGGAGAGGAGGCCUAAAUUUUUUUUCUAUCAGGCUCUGAAUAUUAGCUUCCAAUUUGGCCAAAGUUCUUUCUUUCUUUUCUUUUCUUCCUUCCUUCUUAUUUUUGGGGGUGAGGGGCUGUUUCCACAGCACGCAGAAGUUUCAGGGCCAGGAACUGAACCGAUGCCACAGGAGCAACCCAAGCCACAGCAGUGACAAUACCAGAUCCUUAACCCACUAGGCCACCCAGGAAUUCCAGGCCAAAUUUCUGGUCAUAGAAUUAUUAAAUCCUUUUCAAUAUCUUCUUAGGGUUCAGCUGGGACAAAUAGCAAAUAUUUUAGGCAAUGUUGAAAAACGUCUUGGAUUCAAGAGGUGUCCCAAGGAGGAUUCAAAUGUUUCUACCUUCCCAAGAUCCAGUCCUUCCCAAAGAUAGCCAAAAGAAAGAACUGACAGCCUGUAUGUCCCAGGCAGGCAGAAGGCCAAACCCAGCUCACAGAACACAACAUGAGAGAAGCAAGAAGGAACUAGUUAGCCCUGGGGAAGAACGUGUUAAAGCAGGCAGGUAGCUAGAGAAGAGAAGAGAAAGAGGGACCCAGGCGCAGGUGGCAGGAAACCACACCAGGCUUCUUGUAAACAGCAGGGAUCCAUGACUGACAAAGAAAAGUAGGAACCUCCAGACUGACAGGAAGCCACACAUUUUUGGUAUUAAGUGUCCUGGAGGAAGACAAAAAAAGGUGGGAAAAGGUGAGACUCUCUGGCUUUCCAAUGUAACCUUUUGCUCAUUAUGCCCUCAGUACAGUAAAAUUAGCCUUGCAGAUCAAAAGUUCCUAUCCUGCAUCAAUACCAUGACACUUCCCAUCAAGUCUAAAUAAGGACAAAAAUCUCUCCUCCACUUGUGAAGGUAGACCUGGGAUGAAAGUCAGGGAGUGCAACCCCCAAAGCCCUCUUUCCCCAAAAAAUAUUCCAGCCCUUCAUUUGCAGGCCCCUUAUAACCAGUUUGCCAAAGAAACCCAGGGCAGCUACCCACCUGGGUGCCCUUUCUCCCUCUGAGAGCAUAAUCUUGCUGAAAUAAAUCCUCAUUCUACUUUCUCCAACUCCCUAUCUCAUUUCUGAAUUCUUUUUGCUAUGAGACAAGAAUUUUACGUUCACUUGGAACAAAAGGAUCAGUGCGAUGGAUCUGAAUUUGGAAAGGAAGGGACCAUGUGAAAUUCUAUUUUUCUCUCUUGAUAGAGUGUUAGAGACAGAGUUUGGGGAGAAUUAGCUCUACUAAUAAUUUUCACCCUUUGCUGGCUUCUGCUAGCUCUCUCAGGAUCCCACCUGCAGGCUCUGAGCUAAAGUGGAGAGCAAAGCUCUGAAAUUUACCAGAAUUUGGCAAGAUUACUUUAGAAAUUGAUUUUAAUUUUAGUUUCCCAUUGACUAUGUAAGAGAAUAACAUAGCCGUUAGUUUCCAAAAAAAAUUUCCUCAGAGUCCUAUCAACUCUGAGAGGGGUCCGCAUGGGCUCCUUCCCUUGAAGGUGGACAAGGGAGUGUCUGUAAGGCCAUUGAUUUGUUGGGCUUUUGUUUAUAAUCUGUGUCUUAUAUUUUUCAUUAGCCUUCUGCAACAAAAUUUUUAAUGGAGCUAUUUUGGAAGUUUGAAGCCUUUUGGAAGCUUCUGUAUACCAAUAAAACAAGUAUCCCAUUCUGCUUGUUUAAGUUGGGAAUUCUCACUUUUAGAUGCACUUCUUAAAUGAUCUUACCUAAUCGGAAUGCUCCUUCUAAUGAACAUUCUAAUUCUAGAUUGUUUUUGAGAAUUUUGCCAGUUUUAUAGAUAUUUAUAGCUUCUAGGACCCACAGUUCUUAGACAUAAAAUAAGCAGAUGUGCUGGAAGAGAGUGCACUUAGCUUUUUGGAAUUUAAUGAUUUUGUUAGCUAAACUUUUGGGUUUCUUGGAGCUGAAAUAAUACCUAAAAGGGACUGUGUGAUGUUUAACAAUGCACCUCAUCGCACAGAAAUUUUCUUGAGGUUGGCAGGGAUCUAGUGUCAGUGUAACCCAUUCUGUGACCAACUUAUCCCAGCAUGAGAGUCUUUGGUUUGGUGGCAAGCAGUCUAUCAGCCCUUAAAUGCUUGACUUACACCCAUCAUUUUUUUUUUUUUUUAACUUUUGAUAUCCGAUUAGCAAUUAGCCUUUAUCUAUACAAAAAAAGACAAAACAAAUAUGUGCACCUUAAUAUAUUGUUAAUAAGAAAGAGAUAUUAUUGCACUUGGCCAAGAAAGGUCCCUGUGUGCAACACCAGUUCUCUCAGGACCUUGGACUGGGGAAGGGCUUGAACCAACAGAUCUCCACAAAUGGGGACUGUGGAAGAGGGGCUCAUGUGGAUGGUGGAAUGAACACUGCCUCUAAAAGUUCUUAUGUGGAUCUUUGAACAGAAUCAGGGGCUUAGGAUUUCCACUCAAAAAACCUAGGAAUUACAGUCUAAAAUGCUAGGGGCUUAGCUCCAGGUAGAACCAUCUUCCAACUUAAGCUGACCUUUCCUAUACUGGAAAGCCAAAUGGAUAGGGAUCUUGUUGCAAAGAGAGUAGAGCUCAGAACCAAGAGGAACUAACCCUUAUCCCUCAGAAACAGUGAGAAAUCAAAAAGGAGGUUUGCAGGUACCACAUCAGUAUUUCUCAUUGUCCCUGAAUGUUGUCAGAAUUUUGCUUCAGAUCCCACUGCUCCCUCUUCUGAGGUCCCUCUCUAGAUCUGCCGGCAAGCAAAAAACAUUCUAAUGCUCUCUUCUCCAUGCAGCAGGGGUUUUGUCUCUAAGAGACAAGGUCCAUUGUGUCAGUGACCAGGUGCAUAAAUUGUUAAAUUCAGAGGAGGAAAGGGAAGUACCUGAAGAAAGAUGGGCUACUGUAUAUAGCCCCCUAUACUGGCUACAAGAAACGUGCAGCGGGAGUUCCCAUCGUGGCGCAGUGGUUAACAAAUCCGACUAGGAACCAUGAGGUUGCGGGUUCGGUCCCUGCCCUUGCUCAGUGGGUUAACGAUCCGGCGUUGCCGUGAGCUGUGGUGUAGGUUGCAGAUGCGGCUCGGAUCCCGCGUUGCUGUGGCUCUGGCGUUGGCCGGUGGCUGCAGCUCUGAUUCAACCCCUAGCCUGGGAACCUCCAUAUGCCGCGGGAGCGGCCCAAGAAAUAGCAACAACAACAACAAUAAUGAAAGACAAAAAGACAGAAAAAAAAAAAAGAAAAGAAAAGAAAAA
This 3335-nucleotide long non-coding RNA is filed under the name Sus scrofa (pig). Its description in RNAcentral is "lncRNA (ENSSSCG00005016527.1)". Lineage: Eukaryota; Metazoa; Chordata; Mammalia; Artiodactyla; Suidae. The record is from RNAcentral.